Molecule: ribosomal RNA, 498 nt
Filed under: uncultured bacterium
Lineage: Bacteria
Description: partial 16S ribosomal RNA
Rfam family: Bacterial small subunit ribosomal RNA
Source: RNAcentral
GACGAACGCUGGCGGCGUGCCUAAUACAUGCAAGUCGAGCGGACGGAUGGGAGCUUGCUCCCAGACCGUCAGCGGCGGACGGGUGAGUAACACGUGGGCAACCUGCCUGUAAGACUGGGAUAACUCCGGGAAACCGGGGCUAAUACCGGAUAACUCUUUCCCUCCCAUGAGGGAAAGCUGAAAGAUGGCAUCUCGCUAUCACUUACAGAUGGGCCCGCGGCGCAUUAGCUAGUUGGUGAGGUAACGGCUCACCAAGGCGACGAUGCGUAGCCGACCUGAGGGGGUGAUCGGCCACACUGGGACUGAGACACGGCCCAGACUCCUACGGGAGGCAGCAGUAGGGAAUCUUCCGCAAUGGACGAAAGUCUGACGGAGCAACGCCGCGUGAGUGAUGAAGGUUUUCGGAUCGUAAAACUCUGUUGUCAGGGAAGAACAAGUACCGGAGUAACUGCCGGUACCUUGACGGUACCUGACCAGAAAGCCACGGCUAACUACGUG